Molecule: long non-coding RNA, 274 nt
Filed under: Citrus sinensis (sweet orange)
Lineage: Eukaryota; Viridiplantae; Streptophyta; Magnoliopsida; Sapindales; Rutaceae
Description: long non-coding RNA (CSIN_LNC004302)
Source: RNAcentral
AGAAUUCUUCGUGAGGGAAAGGAAUGCCGGAGACUAUGAACCCAAAGGAAAACAUCACGACCUUCAAAAGUAGUAGAAGGCAUCCAAGAUGUAUCCAAAAUUGAGCCAAAAAAAGAGUUUUCAGGUUUGAAGUUGUUUCCUUUGGUAUUGUUUAUCGUUGUAAUUUAUAAUUGAAUAUUUUGAAUUUGUUGUUUUAGUAAACCAAAUAUUUCAUCAUUUGCUGUUUUCAGUUCAUUUUUUACAAUACUUGCACCAAUGCGAAUCAGUGACCUGA